GACAGAGGAUGCAAGCAUUAUCCGGAAUGAUUGGGCGUAAAGAGCUCGUAGGCGGCCUGUUGCGUCCGCUGUGAAAGCCCGGGGCUUAACCCCGGGUCGGCAGUGGAUACGGGCAGGCUAGAGGUAGGUAGGGGAGAAUGGAAUUCCCGGUGUAGCGGUGAAAUGCGCAGAUAUCGGGAGGAACACCGGUGGCGAAGGCGGUUCUCUGGGCAGUAACUGACGCUGAGGAGCGAAAGCGUGGGGAGCGAACAGG
This 253-nucleotide ribosomal RNA is filed under the name uncultured bacterium. Its description in RNAcentral is "partial 16S ribosomal RNA". It matches the Rfam family "Bacterial small subunit ribosomal RNA", at positions 524 to 776 of the family's 1533-position model. The record is from RNAcentral.